AACUUGCCUAACAGCUCACAGACAGGAUGGGUUGAAAUGGGAAUUUGACCCCAGACCUGUCUUGCUUCAAAGCCUGAGUGUGUCCCACUGGAUCCCUCCGAUGGGAUGGUUGUCCACCCUGACCCUGUGUGGCGCUGAGCACUCGAGGACAUUGAAGAGGCCUGGGGCUCUGGGGCUGAGAUGUCCCACUGUCAGCAUUUUCAGGGGGCCUGGAAUUCGUGGCUAAUAGGGGAGAACUUCUAGGCUAGUAGUUGCCAGGUAGCAACAUGAAGAGCCCCCUUCAAGGGACCCAAGAGAGCCUAGCAGAGAAGGAGCUCCAGCUUCUGGUCAUGAUUCACCAGCUGUCCACCCUGCGGGACCAGCUCCUGACAGCCCACUCGGAGCAGAAGAACAUGGCUGCCAUGCUGUUUGAGAAGCAGCAGCAACAGAUGGAGCUUGCCCGGCAGCAGCAGGAGCAGAUUGCAAAGCAGCAGCAGCAGCUGAUUCAGCAGCAGCAUAAGAUCAACCUCCUUCAGCAGCAGAUCCAGCAGGUUAACAUGCCUUAUGUCAUGAUCCCAGCCUUCCCCCCAAGCCACCAACCUCUGCCUGUCACCCCUGACUCCCAGCUGGCCUUACCUAUUCAGCCCAUUCCCUGCAAACCAGUGGAGUAUCCGCUGCAGCUGCUGCACAGCCCCCCUGCCCCAGUGGUGAAGAGGCCUGGGGCCAUGGCCACCCACCACCCCCUGCAGGAGCCCUCCCAGCCCCUGAACCUCACAGCCAAGCCCAAGGCCCCCGAGCUGCCCAACACCUCCAGCUCCCCAAGCCUGAAGAUGAGCAGCUGUGCGCCCCGCCCCCCCAGCCAUGGAGGCCCCACGCGGGACCUGCAGUCCAGCCCCCCGAGCCUGCCUCUGGGCUUCCUUGGUGAAGGGGACGCUGUCACCAAAGCCAUCCAGGAUGCUCGGCAGCUGCUGCACAGCCACAGUGGGGCCUUGGAUGGCUCCCCCAACACCCCCUUCCGUAAGGACCUCAUCAGCCUGGACUCAUCCCCAGCCAAGGAGCGGCUGGAGGACGGCUGUGUGCACCCACUGGAGGAAGCCAUGCUGAGCUGCGACAUGGAUGGCUCCCGCCACUUCCCCGAGUCCCGAAACAGCAGCCACAUCAAGAGGCCCAUGAACGCCUUCAUGGUGUGGGCCAAGGAUGAGCGGAGGAAGAUCCUGCAAGCCUUCCCAGACAUGCACAACUCCAGCAUCAGCAAGAUCCUUGGAUCUCGCUGGAAGUCCAUGACCAACCAGGAGAAGCAGCCCUACUAUGAGGAACAGGCGCGGCUGAGCCGGCAGCACCUGGAGAAGUAUCCUGACUACAAGUACAAGCCGCGGCCCAAGCGCACCUGCAUUGUGGAGGGCAAGCGGCUGCGCGUGGGAGAGUACAAGGCCCUGAUGAGGACCCGGCGUCAGGAUGCCCGCCAGAGCUACGUGAUCCCCCCGCAGGCUGGCCAGGUGCAGAUGAGCUCCUCGGAUGUCCUGUACCCUCGGGCAGCAGGCAUGCCGCUGGCACAGCCACUGGUGGAGCACUAUGUCCCUCGUAGCCUGGACCCCAACAUGCCUGUGAUCGUCAACACCUGCAGCCUCAGAGAGGAGGGUGAGGGCACAGAUGACAGGCACUCGGUGGCUGAUGGCGAGAUGUACCGGUACAGCGAGGACGAGGACUCGGAGGGCGAAGAGAAGAGCGAUGGGGAGUUGGUGGUGCUCACAGACUGAUCCCGGCUGGGUGGGCCC
Molecule: small RNA, 1754 nt
Filed under: Pan troglodytes (chimpanzee)
Lineage: Eukaryota; Metazoa; Chordata; Mammalia; Primates; Hominidae
Description: processed transcript
Source: RNAcentral